RNAcentral lists this ribosomal RNA (382 nucleotides) under uncultured eukaryote. RNAcentral's name for it is "partial 18S ribosomal RNA". It matches the Rfam family "Eukaryotic small subunit ribosomal RNA", at positions 592 to 976 of the family's 1831-position model. The record is from RNAcentral.
CAAUAGCGUAUAUUAAAGUUGUUGCAGUUAAAAAGCUCGUAGUUGGAUUUCUGGUUGAAGCGACCGGUCGGGCGUUGAUUCGUCUGCACUGGAGUCGGUUUUGGCCAUCCUCUAGGAAAGUGCGUCUGGUAUUAAGUUAUCGGGCGUAUGAUCCUGGUCUUUUACUGUGAAAAAAUUAGAGUGUUUAAAGCAGGCCUUCGCCUUGAAUACAUUAGCAUGGAAUAAUAAGAUAGGACUUUGGUCUAUUUUGUUGGUUUGCAGACCGAAGUAAUGAUUAAUAGGGAUAGUUGGGGGUAUUUAUAUUCCGAUGUCAGAGGUGAAAUUCUUAGAUUUUCGGAAGAUAAACUUAUGCGAAAGCAUUUCCCAAGGAUGUUUUCAUUAA